This 75-nucleotide transfer RNA is filed under the name Lonicera similis. RNAcentral's name for it is "tRNA-His". The stretch from base 9 to 75 matches the Rfam family "tRNA". From Rfam's summary of the family: Transfer RNA (tRNA) molecules are approximately 80 nucleotides in length. Their secondary structure includes four short double-helical elements and three loops (D, anti-codon, and T loops). RNAcentral also lists the same sequence under 4 other names. Lineage: Eukaryota; Viridiplantae; Streptophyta; Magnoliopsida; Dipsacales; Caprifoliaceae. The record is from RNAcentral.
GUUCGCCGGCGGAUGUAGCCAAGUGGAUCAAGGCAGUGGAUUGUGAAUCCACCAUGCGCGGGUUCAAUUCCCGUC